RNAcentral lists this unclassified non-coding RNA (357 nucleotides) under soil metagenome. RNAcentral's name for it is "partial contains 5.8S ribosomal RNA, internal transcribed spacer 2, and large subunit ribosomal RNA". The stretch from base 1 to 120 matches the Rfam family "5.8S ribosomal RNA", at positions 35 to 154 of the family's 154-position model. The record is from RNAcentral.
GAUGAAGAACGUAGCGAAAUGCGAUAAGUAAUGUGAAUUGCAGAAUUCAGUGAAUCAUCGAAUCUUUGAACGCACAUUGCGCCCGCUGGUAUUCCGGCGGGCAUGCCUGUUCGAGCGUCAUUUCAACCCUCAAGCUCUCCGGAGUUUGGUGUUGGGGCGCCUGGGGCUUUUCGACCUCAGGGCCCUCAAGUCCAUCGGCGGGACCGCCAGGACACUGAGCGCAGUAGUAUUAUUUCGCUCGGUAGGAUCUUCCACGGCGGGUCGAUCUGGCCGCUAAACCCCCCAAUUCUCACCAAAGGUUGACCUCGGAUCAGGUAGGAAUACCCACUGAACUUAAGCAUAUCAAUAAGCGGAGGA